UACGUAGGGUGCAAGCGUUGUCCGGAAUUAUUGGGCGUAAAGAGCUCGUAGGCGGUUCGUCGCGUCGGCUGUGAAAUCCCGAGGCUCAACCUCGGGCCUGCAGUCGAUACGGGCGGACUUGAGUGUUGCAGGGGAGACUGGAAUUCCUGGUGUAGCGGUGAAAUGCGCAGAUAUCAGGAGGAACACUGGUGGCGAAGGCGGGUCUCUGGGCAACUACUGACGCUGAGGAGCGAAAGCGUGGGGAGCGAACAGG
RNAcentral lists this ribosomal RNA (253 nucleotides) under uncultured bacterium. RNAcentral describes it as "partial 16S ribosomal RNA". It matches the Rfam family "Bacterial small subunit ribosomal RNA", at positions 524 to 776 of the family's 1533-position model. The record is from RNAcentral.